AGCUUUGCACAGUGGCAAUAUUGUAGCCAAUGAGGUUUAUCUGAGGGGCAAUUACUGCUAAUUGAAAACUUUUCCAGUACCCUGCUGUGACAACCUGAAAU
This 101-nucleotide small nuclear RNA is filed under the name Cervus elaphus hippelaphus. It matches the Rfam family "U4 spliceosomal RNA", at positions 1 to 101 of the family's 138-position model. Rfam says of the family: U4 small nuclear RNA (U4 snRNA) is a component of the major U2-dependent spliceosome. The structure of U4 snRNA from yeast and human has been reported. The record is from RNAcentral. Lineage: Eukaryota; Metazoa; Chordata; Mammalia; Artiodactyla; Cervidae.